Molecule: non-coding RNA, 861 nt
Organism: Paralichthys olivaceus (Japanese flounder)
Lineage: Eukaryota; Metazoa; Chordata; Actinopteri; Pleuronectiformes; Paralichthyidae
Source: RefSeq, a predicted model, not a curated record
GGCACCGGAGCAGGAUCCCGGACUACGGGCCGCAGAAAGUCCGCUCGGUGUGAUACUUUUCACGGAGCUUCGGUGAGAGACUCAGCGACAGGUUUUCACUUCUCUACCCGUUUCCACACCGUCUCUGUCGGCGUGUGUUCCGCUGCUCUGUCCGGGUUUAAUCCCUCCACCCGCCCCGCCACCAUCACAACCAGCCGGCAACAAGUGGCACCGCCCGCCCGGCUCUCAGCGCCGGAGGCCGGGUCACACCGGGAGCUGUGCCCCGCUGAAUCUGCUGCCGGGUGUUCGCUGGGUUCGGUGCACGGUGCGGCCCAGGAGCCGGCGGGCGGCGACACACCUGAGGGCUGGUGAACAAUAGAGUCAGGUUAUUCAGAAGCUACUCGGCGCCAGCGCUUCCCUCCCGUCCCUCCAGCUGCUGCGGGGUUUUAAAAAAAAGUUUGGUUCAAUUGCCGUCGUCCGCUUCGCAGGAUCUUUAAAGUUUCACCUGGAAGAAUGAGCUCCUACACUGUGACGCUGCCCGGCCCCGGCCCCUGGGGCUUCAGGCUGCAGGGAGGGAAGGACUUCAACAUGCCACUGACCAUCUCCAGGGUAAGAACCAGCUGAAACACUGACACUUAUUUGCUGAAGAACAAGUGAUGGAAUCUGCUGGUGCAGUGAGGAAAUCAUAAAUAGAGAUUCAGCUCAUAUGUAUCUGGAUCUUGAAUUAAGACAGACGGAGGCGGGGGCGUCUGAAUGAACACACCAGGAUUGUAAAGUCUCUAAUUGGAGCUUUUUCUUUUCUGCAUGUUCUGCACCUCAUUUCCUGUCGUCUCUUCCAGCAACUGCAACAAAAAAUGUGUUUGUAAAGUUUAAUGAAUUUAA